UCGCCUUCAAAGGUGUGUGAAGCGCGGGCCAAUCGGCGAGCGGGGGUCACGCGUGAUCAGCGGCUGCCCGGCAGCGUGAAGAGGGAGUCGUUCCUGCGUGUACAGAAAUCGGCAGCGUGUCCCAGCGCGGCUCUUGGAUGAGAACUGAACUGCUAAUAACUGAUUAGGAAAGAAGGUGUAGAUAAUUAAAGGAAGGAACAAAAGAAGUCGAGAAGUGUUCAUGACACCUAUGGGCAGCAGACACCAGACAGUCUACUCUACUUCCAGGCAGUAAAUCUCAAUGGAUUCAGGUUCCUUUUGAGAAGACAUAAAUAAGGUGAACUGAUAAUGUUACCUAUUUUGGUAAUGAAACAUCUGCAGGGAAAUAACCAAGCUCGGAGAGCACCAAGGACCCCACAUUCUAUAUAGGAAUUGAUGUUUUUACGAAGAAACUGUAAGGAAGCUUUUACUAAUCUAAUAUUUCUGAAUGUGUGAACCUAUUGCCAAUGUUUUGAGGAAAUAAACAAAUUGAAAAUAAAUCUUCCAGAUCUUGCUCAUAGAAAUCCAACUUUUCUUUCAAAUUAUAUCUAAAAGUUUGCUUUUUUAUUUUUUGAAACAGUAACUGUCUCUACUUGAAAGAAUAGAGUAUUUUUUCUGCUUCCUGCCCUACUGUUGUUUAAAACAAAUAUUGAGAAACAAAAAAAUAAAAGCCAACAUAUUAUAAAGCAAAAUAGCCAACUUCUGACAAAAUGCCUCUACGUUUUAGGUAUGUUCCAUAAGUAUUUCUAAGCACAUACAUCAUUUAAAAAAAAUUAAGCAAGGAUUCGCAUUUGGGGAAAAAUAACCAAUACUUUAUGGAGCAGCAGUAUCCAGUGUUGUUGAUACCUGUUGAUAGCCAUUUAAGUGAUGACAUGAAUGUCCUGUCUCAGUGUUUGGAGGCUAUGGAAACCUGGAUGGGGCACAACAGGCUUCAGCCCAAGCCACGCAAAACUGAGUGGCUUUGAGUAUUUUGUGGUAAUAAGGACUUUGCAUUGCGAGUCUUGGAUGAAUUAACACUGUCUCAGAGACAGACUCGGGGUACAAUCUGGGUGUCCUCCUGGACUAAUGGUACCCUGCUUAAAGAACAGAUAGCAGCUCUGGCUAAGAAAGCCUUUGGACACUUUCAAGAUCUGUGCAUGUUGUACCAGUUCUUGUACUGGGAGGUCCUGCUCAUUCUUACUUAUGCCCCUGUGACCUUCCGUCUGGACUACUACAAUGCUCUCUACACGGGACUGUCAUUGAAGAGCUUUAGAGACUUCAAGUGGUGCAGAAUACAAUAGCACAGGUAACAAAUAAUGCCAGUUGCAUUGUCUUCCACUCAUUUCACCCACUUAAAUCCUUACCUCCAACUGGAGAAGAAUGCAGUGAUACAAGUAGUUAAUAGUGCUGGUUACUGAUGCGUGUGUACUGUACCAUUGUUCCUUGAGCUGCAUAGGCUUCUAGGUGCAGUUAAAGGUGUUGGUUGUUAUCUGUAAAGCUCUUGACACCAGGUUAUUUAAAGGAUUUUCUCCCCCUGAUUGUUUCUACAUAUCGUAUCCCAGUCCAGCAGGUCUCAUCUGCUAAGAAAUGUAGGAUGGGGGUGGGCCCCACCAGAAGACAAGACUUUCUGCUAUAGUGCCUGCCUCUAGAAAAUUCUCCCUCCAGAGAUGGGGUAGCCCCAAUCCUCCUGGCCUUUUGCAAGGCCCUGAAGAAACAACUCUGUGCUUAGAUCUGGAGCCCUGAGUGUGUGAGAAAACCUGCUUCCUGACUAUGUGGCUAUUGUUCUUGGCUGCAUUAUAAUUUUUGUAUAUGUAUUUAUCAUUGUCUGCUGCCUAGACACAUAAUGGAAUAGAUUUUUUAGGCCUAGUACUCUUCAACAUAUUCAUCAAUGACUUGGACGAGUGGAUAGUUGGGGAACUUAUCAAAUUUGCAGAUGAUACCAAGCAGCAGGAAUAGCCAACAAAGAUCGGAAGAUACAGAAGGAUCUUGACAGACUUGAAUAUUGGGCGCUAUCUAACAAAAUGAAAUUCAAUGGUGAAAAAAGUAAGGCUCUACAUUUAGGCAAGAAAAACAAAAUGCACAGGUACAGUAUAUGUGGUACCUCGCUCAAUAGUGGUUACUGUGAGAGGGAUCUUGGAGUCCUAGUGGACAACUAUUUAAAUAUGAGCCAGCAGUGUACUGCAGCUGCCAAAAAAGCGAACACAGUUCUAGGCUGCAUAAACAGAGGGAUAGAAUCAAGAUCACAUGAAGUGUUAAAUAACACUUUAUAAUGCCUUGGUAAGGACACACUUGGAAUACUGCAUCCCAUUUUGGCUGCCACGAUGUAAAAAAGAUGUUGAGACUCUAGAAAGAGUGCAGAGAAGAGCAACAAAGAUGAUUAGGGGACUGGAGGCUAAAACAUAUGAAGAACGGUUGCAGGAACUGUGUAUGUCUAGUUUAAUGAAAAGGACUAGGAAGACAUGAUAGCAGUGUUCCAAUGUCUCAGGGCUGCCACAAAGAAGAGGGAGUCAAGCUAUUCUCCAAAGCACCUGAGGGUAGAGCAAGAAGCAAUGGGUGGAAACUAAUCAAGGAGAGAAGCAACUUAGAACUAAGGAUUUCCUGACAGAACAAUUAAUCAGUGGAACAACUUGCCUCCAGAAGUUGUGAAUGCUCAAACACUGGAAGUUUUUAAGAAGAGAUUAGAUAACCAUUUGUCUGAAGUGGUGUAGUUUUCUACCUAAGCAGGGGAUUCGACUAGAAGAUCUCCAAGAUCCCUUCCAACUCUGUUAUUCUAUUCUAUUCUAGAUGGCAUAUACAUUUUUAAAUAAGUAAACACUCCUUCAGCCAGUCCUACUUUUGAAAAAUGACCUGUGACAGGCUGGGUAAAAGCUGGAGCAGUUUUCAAACUAGCAAAAGCUGUACAGUUCAUAAUGCAAUUAUGUGCGUGCACAAAUAAGUUGCAGAGGCAGUCAAUCUACAACUAUAAUUGAGUUCAAAGUUGUGAUGGUUCAAUUUUAUGUCUUUUUUGCAGCAGUUGUUAAGAGAAUGCAGUAGUCGUAGAGUGAAUAUGGCAGUUUUUAAGUGAAUGCAUUGGUUACUGUGUGAACCCAUUUUAGCCAAUGAGCACAUUUUGUUGGAAAUAGUAAUAAUGCUGAUUCCCACAAAAAAAAUUGUAAAUUAGUCACAUAACCACAGGACACUGCAAAUACUGGUAGCUGUAAAUGCAUGCUGGUUGCCAAGCACCCAAAACAUGAUCACAUGACCAGGAAGGGACAGACUAAGACCUUGAACCUAGUCAUAAGUACUUUUUUGGGAGAGCACUGUAACUGACUGGUUGCUGAUGAGGAUUACCUGCACAAUCAGCAGGGCGAUCGUGUUCCUUUGCAUUGUUUAUGCUGGCUGGCAACAUGUCAGUUUUAGUUAAUACAAAUCAUAAGCUCUGCUGUCCUGUUAGGAAUCCCUAAUCAUAAGUUAUCCACUUUCUAAUGAGAACUAUUUGAUUAAUAUAAUUGGGUGAAUGUGUGGCUUAAUUCAAAGCCUUUUGAUGAGAUACCUUGGUUACUGUUCAAUGCUGUCUUUUGCACCUGUAUAUCAUACACUUUUAGUUAUUUCAUUCAGUAUUCUUUAACUUUUCCUUUAUCCCUUCUGGUUAGGUGUUUAUUAAAUACACUAAGCAAUAUUCUAUAUACUAAAUGUGUUUUUAUGUUUUAUGUUUAUUCUUUUGGUUUGAUUCUUUAGAAUAUACCUCUAUUCCUACUCCUCUAACACGCUAGGUGGAAAGGCUUUCAACCUAGAUGGAAAGCAAAACCUUCUGAUGACUUCAUCAGUGUUCAUAAACUAGAAUUUUCCUUUGUACUAUCAUAGUAUUUUUAAAUUGAUUAUGAACAUUACCUGACCAUUAAUGUGUGUUAACAGAGAAAUUGGGACUGAAAUUUAGGCUUAUCAGAACAAGCAGUGUUAUAUGUAUUUUGGAUAGUUGUUCGAGUGUAAAGCCAGCCCUUUGAGAAUUGAUGGGAGUUUAUUUACCCCCAGUGGUGAUUGUUAUUUCAAGGUACAUCUCUGCACUUCGUCUGCAACUAUUUGUUACAAAGUAACCUAAGUAUUAUGCUUGGAACAUAACAUCUUGACUUUUAAUAAAGUAUUCGUGAAUUAAAGUGGUUAUCUAAGCACGCACCAUCAGGAUCAACUUCUGAAACAACUGCCUGAGGUUUCUGGAUGGAUGACUUUAUUCCUUUGAAGCAUUUUUGUCACACUAAGAUGUUUUUUUAAAGUACCCUUUUUAUACACUCUAAACCCCAUGUUCUUGUAUGUUUAUGGAUAUACCAAUCCCUAGUAUACUUUGUCUAAGUCUCACAGUCACAAUCAUUUGAGACUGAGUGUAUUUGGCUCUUUGGAAUAGUGUGCGUGAAUGACUGAAAAAGAUAUCCCCUAACUUGUUCUUUGAUAUGGAUAGUAUAUACAAAGCAUUUUUUUCUCCCCUGGGUUCUCUCUCCCCAUUUCACUUUGAAAAUUCCAAAUCCAGAAAAGAAAAUGCAGCUUAGUUAACGUUCCCGUUUACCUUAUUGGCAUAUUCGUUCAAACUUACCACAAGUUUGCUGAAAUCAGUUAUCAGGAUUCGUAUCAAAUAGAGCCAAAAUUAAAUCAUAUUAUGACUUAGUAUGUUUAUAAGUCAGAACACAACCAAUCCUGGAUAAGUUGUAAUUUAAGUUUUAACUCCUUUGCACAUAACACAAGUUUUCAUCUAAAAGAUCCUUGUUUAUAUCAUUAAAUUUAAAACAAAUUUAGGUUAUAUGUUUUGCGUAUAGAUUACCUUCUUAAAAAUCUGGCUUUUUCAGUCAAAGGCAUCAAACAGAAGCAGCAAUGUAGUGCAAAAGCUAGGCAGUGAUUUUGCAGAUCUACUCCAGUCCCAUGAACCUAUGCUGGAAUUUCUUAUUCAGCCUCUUAAUAACCAUUGUUCAUGUCAAAGAAAGCUCACCAAUGUUGUGAUCCAUGCACUACUGGUAGAUAUAUAUACUUAUACAAAAUUAUUCUCCUCCCUCCGCAGGACCUCAUGCCAAAAUUCACUUAUUUUAACUAAUGAGGGAUGUUUAGAUUUGAACUAUUAAAUGAAACUAAGGCCAGCAUGUAAAAUAUAUAUUUGAGACCAAUGGCAAUUAAGCAAUUACCACAAUAGUCCAAGAGACACAUAGUUGCAAUAGUUUCCCUGUCAUAAUAAGCAGUGUUAAAUGCACUUUUUGCUGCAUCUCAACACUGAUUAUUUUCUAUUAUGGGUGACUAUAUGAAUGCAGAUAAGACAGC
Molecule: long non-coding RNA, 5274 nt
Organism: Ahaetulla prasina
Lineage: Eukaryota; Metazoa; Chordata; Lepidosauria; Squamata; Colubridae
Exons: 3
Source: RefSeq, a predicted model, not a curated record